This 457-nucleotide ribosomal RNA is filed under the name Bacillus sp. (in: firmicutes). RNAcentral's name for it is "bacterial SSU rRNA". It matches the Rfam family "Bacterial small subunit ribosomal RNA", at positions 827 to 1284 of the family's 1533-position model. Lineage: Bacteria; Bacillati; Bacillota; Bacilli; Caryophanales; Bacillaceae. The record is from RNAcentral.
AGGGUUUCCGCCCUUUAGUGCUGAAGUUAACGCAUUAAGCACUCCGCCUGGGGAGUACGGCCGCAAGGCUGAAACUCAAAGGAAUUGACGGGGGCCCGCACAAGCGGUGGAGCAUGUGGUUUAAUUCGAAGCAACGCGAAGAACCUUACCAGGUCUUGACAUCCUCUGAAAACCCUAGAGAUAGGGCUUCUCCUUCGGGAGCAGAGUGACAGGUGGUGCAUGGUUGUCGUCAGCUCGUGUCGUGAGAUGUUGGGUUAAGUCCCGCAACGAGCGCAACCCUUGAUCUUAGUUGCCAUCAUUAAGUUGGGCACUCUAAGGUGACUGCCGGUGACAAACCGGAGGAAGGUGGGGAUGACGUCAAAUCGUCAUGCCCCUUAUGACCUGGGCUACACACGUGCUACAAUGGACGGUACAAAGAGCUGCAAGACCGCGAGGUGGAGCUAAUCUCAUAAAACCG